CAAAGGAAACAGUUGCGCAAGCGCACUAAAAUCACCCCAACGCGACCACCAGAGCCGCGCAGGCGCAGAACGGCGUGCGGGAGGUUGGGGCUCACGCAUGCGCAAAAGGGAAAUGCCGGCCCUCCCCUCCCCACCCCAAGCAGCUCCGCUUCUACCGAGCCACAGUUACUUGCCCUUUCAAAUUGCUCUGACUGACCUCUCUUGCGUUUGAACGGCGUCGAAUCGCCCCGGCGCUGGCGAAGACGUGUUCUGUUUCAUCCGAACACUCCGGUUCUCUCCCUCCCCAAGUAGUCAAAGGCUGCAUGAGGAGUGUCGAUCACUCCCGGCUCGUCUCAUCACGGCCCAGGGCCUAGAGGAGCGCCGAGUGAUCGAUGCCGUGGCUCCGCCCCGCGCCGUUUACAAGGCGGGAGGGUGGUGGCCGCUAGAAAGUUACCCUCUGCCCAGAGACCUUUACUGCUGACCUGUAUGCAUGUGCACCCCACAUUUUCCAGUCCUCUUGCGGUGUUUGGGCAAUGGGCUCAGUUUGGAAGAUUUAAAAGCCAGUGAGUGACCCUCUGAUCUCUCAUCUCCCAUUUGAUGACCAAGGAGGCUCCGUGUUCUAAGACAGCUCUACCUGAGUCCCAGAGGGACUGAGUGAAGCAGAGUCCUCUGCUAGCCCACAUUGGAUAUGUAACGCUCAUCAGAAAUCUUUCCUCCCAUUUCCCUCAGGACCUUGCUCCAAAUGCAGAGGUUUUCAGAUCCCAGUGUGCAUAAGAUUUACCAGGAACUGGCUGAAAAUACAGACUUCUGGGUCCUGUCCUCCAGAUUCGGAAGUGAGCCCAGGACUCUGCAUUUUAAACAGGCACUUUAGGAGGUCUUACCACUCUAGGGUGAGGAAAGACAACCUCAAGGGACAGUAGGAAAAAACGAGCCUGUGCCUCCAUGCUUAAGUGGAAUUGGUCUGCGUGAGCUCCCCCAGGUCCUCCUAGGGUGGAACUUCUUGAAAAGCCGGAGGGGACCCCAGGUCACCUCUUACUGUGCCAGCUCUGGAACCAGAACUUUUAAGGGGGAGAAUUGAAAGAGAAAGGGGGAGAAAGUGUGCUUUUGUGUGUGUGUCUGGGGGUUGCAA
Molecule: long non-coding RNA, 1108 nt
Organism: Choloepus didactylus (southern two-toed sloth)
Lineage: Eukaryota; Metazoa; Chordata; Mammalia; Pilosa; Megalonychidae
Exons: 4
Source: RefSeq, a predicted model, not a curated record